AGUCGAGCGGCAGCGCGGGGGCAACCCUGGCGGCGAGCGGCGGACGGGUGAGUAAUACAUCGGAACGUGUCCUUUCGUGGGGGAUAACCAGUCGAAAGACUGGCUAAUACCGCAUGAGAUCUCACGAUGAAAGCGAGGGACCGCAAGGCCUCGCGCGAUUGGAGCGGCCGAUGUCGGAUUAGCUAGUUGGCGGGGUAAAAGCCCACCAAGGCAACGAUCCGUAGCUGGUUUGAGAGAACGACCAGCCACACUGGGACUGAGACACGGCCCAGACUCCUACGGGAGGCAGCAGUGGGGAAUUUUGGACAAUGGGGGCAACCCUGAUCCAGCCAUGCCGCGUGUGUGAAGAAGGCCUUCGGGUUGUAAAGCACUUUCGGCCGGAACGAAAUCGCCUUCGUUAAUAGCGGGGGUGGAUGACGGUACCGGAAGAAGAAGCACCGGCUAACUACGUGCCAGCAGCCGCGGUAAUACGUAGGGUGCGAGCGUUAAUCGGAAUUACUGGGCGUAAAGGGUGCGCAGGCGGCGUCGCAAGUCAGGCGUGAAAUCCCCGGGCUUAACCUGGGAAUGGCACUUGAAACUACGAUGCUGGAGUAUGGCAGAGGGAGGUGGAAUUCCACGUGUAGCGGUGAAAUGCGUAGAGAUGUGGAGGAACACCAAUGGCGAAGGCAGCCUCCUGGGCCAAUACUGACGCUCAUGCACGAAAGCGUGGGGAGCAAACAGG
Molecule: ribosomal RNA, 721 nt
Filed under: uncultured Pseudomonadota bacterium
Lineage: Bacteria; Pseudomonadati; Pseudomonadota
Description: bacterial SSU rRNA
Rfam family: Bacterial small subunit ribosomal RNA
Source: RNAcentral